Long non-coding RNA from Capsicum annuum, 4742 nucleotides. RefSeq lists it as uncharacterized. The transcript is spliced from 3 exons. Lineage: Eukaryota; Viridiplantae; Streptophyta; Magnoliopsida; Solanales; Solanaceae. The record is from RefSeq and is a predicted model, not a curated record.
UGUUUUAUCUAUUGAGCAUCUCCAUAACACUCUCCCCUUACGUUGUGUUUUUUCUUUCUGUCAACUCUUCUUUUGAGAAGAAAAAUUCCAUAUACCCUUUUAACCUAGUGCACUCUCUUCUAUAUUGCAGUCACAUCUCACUCUUAAAUCUCUCAUAUUUUUUCUUCAAACUCAGACUAUUCGUCCUGUGACUAAGAAGAGGGUGGGUUCCACUUGGUACUACCAUAGAGCCUAUAGUGCCAACGAUGUUUAGUACUGAUGAUUACUUGGGGAUCCCUUAAGAGAGAAUAAAGACAUACAACUGCUGGGAGGAUUCCCUUAGUACUUUUCUUAUCACAUACCUACUCCAUCCAUUCGGUAUGUUGGUGGUCCCUUGAUUUUUAUAUGGAUCAUAGAGAGGAUCACCUCCCACGUGCUUGGUUUAAUAUUCCUAUACACUUUGCUAUUUAUCUUGGACUUGGGUGAUCUAAUAGAUGUCGUCAUUAUCUUAUUUUGCAAACUUUCCAGCUAAGCAUGGGGAAACUCAGUCUCGACCUGUGGAAGUCCAUGGCUUGCCUCAGAAUCCUAGACAACUUGUCUGGUUUUGAGUUCACUAUCACGCACCUCUUUUUACUUAUUUAUCUGAGACUAACCCAGAGUUUAUUCGAACUGGAGCCCCGCAUCCCCGGCUUCAUCCAAGGCGAUUAGAUGGUGGCUACUGACGAAUACACUUUUCAGUUUAACCAGACCCUUCAAUGAAUGGGUUUUGAGAAUUUUUUCAUCGGGUUCUUUGUUCAGAGCGGAUCUUUUCAUUGUCUCAUCCACUGUUUAAAUUCACCCACACUUGAGGGCCCCCCAGGUUCCACUUGUACCUCAAACUGUAGAGGUGAUCUCGAUUGCCUAAAUGAAUACUCAAUAUUGUAAAAUAGGCUCAAAACCCAGUCACAGCCCUUGCCCUUCAAGAGGGAAAAUACCAUCCACAGAGGUGGUGGUGAUAAAUGAAUCGCAUAAGGCUGACUACUAGCCACCCAAGAACAAAUCUAAGAGAACGAGCUGUGGUAGUAGCUCUUCAAUUCAUUAUCACGAAGCGCCUACUACUGGUUUGGAGGCCACUCUUGGGACCUCCUUUAGUCCCUUGUGUCGACUGCCUAGCGAGAGUCCUAUUUAAAGGUUUGGAGUUUCAUCUAAUAAGAGGAAUUCUACUUCCUUGGGCCAGCCUACCAUCGAUCAUUGUAUGCUUAGUAUUUAUUUUUUGGAUCGAUGGGUGAGCCUUCGGCAUCUUAGAUAGUUUACUUGUCCAUUCUCUCAAACGUGAAUUUCCUGUCCAGGCUAGCCAAAUUAGAUAGCUAUUUCAAUACUAUGGUUUCACCUGGUGAUCAAGAGAGGUUGGCGUUAUUCCAUCAAAAAGCUUGACUAAUGACAUUGCCGAUGCCUCAACCUAGGGGAGAUAGCCCUACUUCUAUUUUUUAAACAACUGGCUUCUUUUGUAUUUUAUCAUUAUAUAUUUCCCCUAUUAACCUUUUCAGCUACGAAGAGUAUGAAAUAGUGGUAGAAAAAAAUCAAACUUUAGUCACAUUAUCCCAUGCUAUAAGAAAAUAUGAAGCUAUGAGUGAUCAAUCCUCAUUGGUUGAGUUCCUUACAUGAUGUAACUUUUAGAUCAAUGACCUAAAGCUUUGAAUAGAGAAGGCUAAACUAGAUAUGUAAGCCUUUUGCAUAGAUUCCCAUGAAAUACUUUUAGAAAUUAAGAAGAAAGAUUAAGAGCAAAUGGCACAAUUAGAGUUGAUCGAGGGGCUGCUCCACCAAUAAAGAGAGUUACAGGCAAGUCUUUGUAGGAAUCUCUGAGGUGCCAUCUCCAUUCCUUCGGAUGAGGUUGGCCAUUCUCACCUUAUUAAAGUAUCGAAUUAGGCUGAGCAUCAUCAACUUUGGGAGAAGAUCUAGUUAUUUAUGGUAACAUACUUAGGUGGUUGAUUUUAAAUCUCUAUUAAGAUGAUGAUUGAGAGCCAACUUACUUGGAUUAAUAUCCUAAAGGAGGUGAGGUCUGGUCGACCUCAUACAUCUCAAUAUUCUCCAGUAUAGGAUCAUUUAGCUGUAAUACCCCGAGUCUGUACCCCGGACGCUACACGGUGCUAGCGACCCCAAAGGACCACCAGCUAACUCAUGACUAGUACCUGCUGUGAACAAUGAAUAAUAAUAUCAUUGUAGUAAUAAUAAUACUAAAGUAAAUGCGGAAGUUAGGCUGAAUACGCCAUAAGGUUCAUAACUAAGAACAAAUACUGAUAACUAAAAACAACUGUCUAAAAUACUCUAGUCUACUAUAAAAGCCUCUAAUUGUCUGAAUAUGGAGUUGAUGGGACAAGUCCCCAACUAACUCCAAUUACUGAACAUAACGAACAACUAAAAUACUGAAAUGAUAAAUUUAUCCUCAGGCUAUGAGGAUUUACCACUAGAUCUGCUGCUGAUAGUCUGGGCUGCUAAGUAUGGUCAGGAGCCCUUGCAUCUGAACCUGUGAUAUAAGACAUCAUAGUGCAAAAAAAAAGUAUGCGUCAGUACUUUGAAUGUACUUAUAUGCUAAGUGAGGUAGGCUGAUAUACAGAGAUUCAUAUGCCUGAACAAUACUGGCUGAGUAACAUGAACGUAACUAAAUAAGAAUACAUGCAUGAAUACAUAAACUGUAACUAAGAUUACGAUAACACUGGAUAGUGAGUUCCGGAUACUAAUCAACUAGAAUCUAAGUUUACUGAUGUGGUAUUACUGAUAGCUGAAUGACUAUUUUUUGAUAGUCCUAAUUUUGUAGAACUGAACUGAGUUCUGUACGGAGACAGAAACUAUGGGAAAUAAUCAUCUAAUCGACAUGCCCCUCUCCGAAUGGAUUGGGGUCCAACCUGUAACCCAGUUGGAAGGGUGUGAGUACCGUUCCACGGGUAAAGACAAGCUGUGAGUUAACCUUCUCUAACAGGAAGACAUUUUGUCAACCCUCGCUGGCAGGAAAACUCACAUGAGAUGUAUUAAUCCUAGUUUGGCAGAAAGAUAUCUCAACCUAUGAUCUCUAUGUAGUUCUGUAAAAUAGGGAUUGCUUCUAGGGGUCAUACCCUACACUGGUAGGAAUGCCGCCAUCCCUGGGUUUGCUUGGUAAUGAAUCCUACUCCCAACUGAAGAGACACUAAACUGAUUUCUAAACUAUACUAGGCCAGACUGAACUGUCACUGAGUUUACUGGGUUCCGCUGACUGACUGGGUAAAGGAAAAUGACUCAUUUGCCCUUAAAAAUGCGGAUCUAGACUACAGAAAAAUGCAUAGGCCGAAUUGAACAGGGCACCACGGGCUCUGGAGCACCGCUCUAGAUGAGGCGCCGCGGGCUUUGGAGCGCCACUCUGGGCAGGGUAGCACGGGCAUAUCGCUUUGAGCUACUAUUUCUAAAAACCAAACAUUCCCUUACACUAAUCCAAAAAUUUUGAAACUCAUCCGAGAUGUACUAUUAACUUCCCCAAUCAUGAAUCAACAAAAAAAUUAACUUUCCAAGUUCGAAAAGUUUGUGAAUAAAUUCCUCAAAGUUUGAGGGCUUUAGAAAUGACUAAGUCUUAAUAUUUAGCUAACAUUUUCUAAGUCUGGGACCUCUUUUGGCAUGUUUUAAAGGAUUCAAAUGACUAGAAUUUUAUGGGGUCUUACAAUAUCUCCCCCUUGGGAACAUUCAUCCUCGAAUGAGACUGGUUAGGCUGAGAAUCACUGAUAGACUGAGUUUAAACACUACACAUGCAUAACUGAAGUAUGACUACAUGACUGAAUUACUGGAAAGCUAAGUUCCCAUACUAAACAUGAAUAUCUGAUGUAUAAGUGCGGGACUGAACUGAUUCAUGAAUGCAUGACUGAAUAUGCAACGGUAAAGAAUACAAAGAUUAUAAAUGUAGCUAAAUAUGGAACUAAAUAAUUCUAAGAAAGAUUAUUACCUUAAGAUGAAUCUGAUUUUACGAAGAAGAGGUGAGGAUACUUGAUCCGCAUAUCUACUUUUGCUUCCCAAGUGGCUGUAAUACCCUGAUCGUUCCUUAAGCCUGAAUCCAUCUUUUAAAGUGAAUGUAGACGAAUUUCAAGGUGAAUGAUGUUUAAACCAUAUUGUGUUUCUUUAAUUUCUACUUUCUAUCACGUGAAUAUUUGAAUAAGCUUUUCGUCGAUACCAAAUUCACCCAAAUCCGACCCUCGGGUGAAGAGUUAGAACCAUUUUAGUGAGACAGUGUACCAACUGGCACUUUAGUGCGUUACAGAGCCAGCCAAAAUGGCAAUUGUCAUUUUCUAGUGAGCGUCCAUGAUAUUGGCAUGUCGCUCCAAGGCUCAAUAUUAGGAUUGUCAAAUUCCAGUGCACCAACGCGAUUCCACCACAUCGCGGUGCCCUUCCAGGUCACGACCAAGGUGACAACGCGAUUUCACCGCGUCGCGCCGCUGAGCAGUUUUCCAAUUGUCAAAAUCUAGUGAAGGUCCGCAAUUAUGGCCCGUCGCGCCAAGGCCAAAACUCGGGCUUCAGUUCUAGAAUUUUCUCAAGGGUAUUUUGGUCAUUUUCAUCCAUUUUGACCUCUACAUAUAUAUCCAAGUAGGGAAGAGCAAUUCAUUUUCUCUCCAAUCUCUUCCAAGAAAAUUUAGUUCUAGAGCUCGGGUUUCUCUCCUUCAAUUCCAAAUCCAAAUCUUCUCCAAGAAAAUUCAAGAAUCUUUCAUAUAUUUCAUCGAGUUGUUCAAGAAUCAAGUUCUCUAAGUCAAAGGUAUCAAGAAACUUAGCUC